UACGGAGGGGGCAAGCGUUAUUCGGAAUUAUUGGGCGUAAAGGGCGCGUAGGCGGCUAGAUGUGUCAAAGGUGAAAUCCCUCGGCUCAACUGAGGAACUGCCUUUGAAACUGUCUGGCUUGAGGCCGGGAGAGGGUAGCGGAAUUCCCAGUGUAGCGGUGAAAUGCGUAGAUAUUGGGAGGAACACCAGUGGCGAAGGCGGCUCACUGGACUGGUAUUGACGCUGAGGUGCGAAAGCGUGGGGAGCAAACAGG
Molecule: ribosomal RNA, 253 nt
Filed under: uncultured bacterium
Lineage: Bacteria
Description: partial 16S ribosomal RNA
Rfam family: Bacterial small subunit ribosomal RNA
Source: RNAcentral